UACGGGGGGAGCAAGCGUUGUUCGGAUUUACUGGGCGUAAAGGGCGCGUAGGCGGCCAGCACAAGUCAGUUGUGAAAUCUCCGAGCUUAACUCGGAGCGGUCAACUGAUACUGUGCGGCUAGAGUGCGGAAGGGGCAACUGGAAUUCUUGGUGUAGCGGUGAAAUGCGUAGAUAUCAAGAGGAACACCUGCGGCGAAGGCGGGUUGCUGGGCCGACACUGACGCUGAGGCGCGAAAGCCGGGGGAGCGAACGGG
This 254-nucleotide ribosomal RNA is filed under the name uncultured bacterium. Its description in RNAcentral is "partial 16S ribosomal RNA". It matches the Rfam family "Bacterial small subunit ribosomal RNA", at positions 524 to 776 of the family's 1533-position model. The record is from RNAcentral.